GCUGGAGUUAGGGACAAAUCCAUAUUGUGAGGGUCGGAUGAGACUGUGAGAGCUCCAGAAGUUCCAGAGUGUUUCUCUGACACACGAUUCCAUCAGUUUUGCAAUACAGCUAGUGAGACUGACUGGGCGAUAGUUGACAGGUGAUGUGCGGUCGCCCUUUUUGAACAGAGGAAUGACACUGGCAGUUUUCCACUGCUCCGGAGUAGCACCAUUGUUGAGACAGUACUGGAAGAAAAUAUGUAUAUAUGUAUAUAUCUCAGCAUGGCCACAGCAUUUAGGUUGAAGAGAAUAAAAGGAUAUUGUAUUCUACAAGAUUUCUCGAUAACGAAGUAACCACACGGCUAUGCCCACACACUAUAUAUAUAUAUAUAUAUAUAUAUAUAUAUAUAUAGACACAUAUGAAAUAAUAGAUCAGCAGAAUGAUAUUUGGGAUUUAUGAAUAAUUCAGCAGUGUAAUUAAUUAAAAUAUCAAGGUAAAGUAACGAAGCAAAUUAGGAUUUAAAGAUGACAGUUUAUGCUGAUUAAUAUUUAGGGAGAUGGGGGGGGAGCAGACAGACAGACAGAGGGGAAAUGCAGAGAUAUGGAAAGGUACACACAAACUUCAGUGUGCAUGUAUGUAUGUGUAUAUAUAUAUAUAUGUAUAUAUAAAGUGUCUCACAUACAUGAUUUACUAAUCACAGCUAAAUGUCGUUAAGGCAUAUCAACAGAGGGAAAAAUGAUAUAUAUAGUUAUUUUAAUUUAUAUCUUUAUUCCACCAUUUUUUUACUAUUUCAUCUCAGCCUCCAGCCCCGCUCCACCACUGUAUUCUAAAUUGUAUGUCCGUGAACUGUUCUAAAUGUUUGAGCCCCUGUGGCCAAUACAAAAGUCAUCAUUGUCAUUAUUAUUAUUAUUAUUAUCAUCAUUAUCAUUAUUAAAAACAUUAGAUCCGCAAAAGAAAUCCUUUCAGAAUUCCUUCAACCAUUGAUUUAUAAAGAUAUUUCCUGAGUUUGUUCAAGAGAAACAUUAACUACUCUGAUCUGAUAAGUCUCAAAAAGGGGCCUGUGAACAACAAUGGAGGGGGUCACAGCCCCUCUUUCCAUAGCAAACCAGUAAAGAAGAGAGACAAAAGUACAAAUCUACAAAGUUUUAACUCAAAACAUGAAUCAUUUCUUUGUGUAUGUGUGUGUGUAUGUGUAUGUAUGUAUUAUACACAUAUGCACAUGGUAGGCUUCCUUACAGUUUCUCCCUUCUAAAUUUCACUCACAAGGACAUUGGUCAAUUUCAAACUGUAGCAGAAGACACUUAACCAAAGCACCAUGCCGUGGAACUGAACUUGGAACCUUUUUGUGGUUCUGAAGCAAAGUUGAUACACACAUAGCUACACCUGUAUAUGCAUGUGCGUGCAUGUGUAUGUGUGUGUGUGUGUGUGUGUGCGUGCACACAUAUAGAUAUAAAGAUAGACAUAUAGAUAGAUAGAUGGAUAGAUAGAUAGAUAGACAGACAGAUAAAGAUAGAUAGAUAGGAUAAUUUAGACAGAUAGAUUACAUCUCACAUGUACAGUGAGAAGCACUUGAUCUGUAUAACAUGAUGCAAUGAAGUGUUCCUCGAAGAAGUUGUCAUGGUUCAGCAACCAAAUGUAUUGGUAACAUCCCCUGCAGGGGAAACAUACAUGGGGAACAAAUGAUAUAAACUGCAUCUUGUGUUUAUCAUAAUAUCUCUAAUAUAAAUAUUAAAAAAUUUUGGAAGAAAAUAAUUAUGUUUUUAAUAAAAACAUGAAACAGUUAAAAAAGGCACGUUAUAGACUGGGGGAUUUCAACUGGGAGAAGUCGAAUAAUAAUAUUAAUAAUAAUCCUUUCUAUUAUGUGCACAAGGCUUGAGAUUUGGGGUGAACAGGGUUAGUCGAUUACAUUGACCCUUGUGCUCGGCUGGUACUGGUUUCAUCGACCUUGAAAGGAUGAAAGGAAAAGUGAACCUGGGCAGAAUUUGAACACAGAACAAAAAGCUGGAAAAAAUGUCACGAAGCAUUUUGUCCGGCAUGCUAACAGGGGAUAAUAAUAAUAACAAUAAUAAUUUCUAACAUUAGCACAAGGCUUGAAAUUCGAGGGGAUGGUAACGAUCAAUAUCGACCCCCAAGUACUUAAGUGGUACUUUAAUCUCUGAAUGAUGAAAGACAAAGUUGACCUCCAAAGGAUUUGAAUCCAGAAAACAAAGAACAGGAACAAAAUAACACAAAGGCAUUUUCCCCAAUGCUCUGCUGGUUCUAUCAAUCCAGUUCCUCAUAAUAAUAAAGAUGAUGAUGAUGAUGAUGAUGAUUGCUUACACGGGCAUGAAAACUUAAGAAAAUUCAAGUGGGUGGGAAUGUAUUAAAUGAGAUCAGGUCACUGUGCCAUGAUGCACCACCAUGUCAUGCUGCACUACAGAAUAUACUACUGUGCCAAAGGUUUGCACAACGUGCCAUACAAAUGCACUCAAUGACACUGUGUGACACUGUGAAAUACUAUGUCACAGUGGACAGUGCAUCUCACAGUUGUACACAAUGUAUUAAUGGGCCAUGGUAUCACACAGCUCCAAUGUGCCUCACCAGCAAUCCAAUUUUUUUCACCUAAAGUGGAGUAAAACCCUCAUCCCUUUUCUAUUGGUAUAUAACUGCUACUUUAUUAUUAUUAUUAUUAUUAUUAUAAAAUCGUGUGGAGGAGUGUGGAGUGCCAACACCAAUACUACAAUGAAGUCUCUACAUGCUGUCACACCAAACCAAGUAGAAAUAUAAGAAACCAAAAACAACAUCUCCAGAAAAGCUACAAUCAAAACCAAACUUUGACAAAUCAAGUUUCCGCAUGUGUGUGUGUGUGUGUAUAUAUAUACAUACACACAAGUGCAUGCAUACAUUUCUCAAUAUGUACAUGCAUGUUUCUGUCUGUCAACAUAUGAAUGAGCAAAUAUAGCUUUUUAUGUUUUUACCGAAAAUAUCAUCCAUCAGAAAAGUCUCAGGUCAGUGUAUCAAACGGGAGCAUUGACUAAAACUAACGUGGCAGGUGAGGGUUCAAACCACGGUUGGAGUAGCGAUUGAUUAUAGCCAGCAUUUUUACUGAGUAACUGCUUUUUGGGUUAAUAGGCUGAUAGUGUUGUUUUAGGCUGAUAGUGUUGUUUUAGGCUGAUAGUGUUGUUUUAGGCUGAUAGCUUUGACGUAAGAGGAGAGCAUUGAUGUAAGCCAAUAGCACUGAUGUAGUAGGCCAAUAGUGUACAUUUAGACUGAUAGUGUAGAUUUAGGCUGAUAGUACAGCAGUAAGUUGAUAGUGUUGAUGUAAACUGAUGGUGGUAUUGCAUGAGUGGUAGUAGGUGUUUACAGACACAUACACAAUAUACACAUGUGAGCAUAUGUAUGUACGUGUAUGUGUGUAUAUGCACACACUUAUAUAUUCGUGUACAUAUACACACACACAUACCAAUACCUAUGUGUAUAUACGCACAUACAUACAUAUCCACAUGUGUAUAUAUAUGUGUGUGUGCAAAUGCAUAUAGGUAUAGGUAUGUGUAUAUAUAUAUGUAUGUUUAUGAAUAUAUAUACAUCGACACACAAAUGGAUAAUUGCUGAAUAUUCAGGGAGUGUGUGAAGUCAGUCAGCAGUGAAAGCUAAUUACUGUACAACAGUGACGAGUGGAACCCAGACGAGGAUGUGUAGAAGGAAAGAAGGAAGAAAGCAAUGAAAAGGUUAACAUGGGAAGGAAGGAAGGUUAUUGACUAACAGACAGACAAAGAUGCAACUGUAUACAAACAAUUGCAUACCUUCCUCAAUUGCCCAGCGUGAACACACGGUGACACAGUUCACUGCACACAUGCUGUUCACAUUCGAUCCCAGCAUGUGUAGAGCAAAUGGGCCACAUGGUAUUCACAUGUAGAGUCGGGGUUUGUAGCAGUUAGGGCUGAAGGGUCAACGGCACAACUACAAAACAGAAUCACCGACAGGAGGAGGGACAACAUCGAUGUUAUUCCAAGUCGUACCAUUCUAUUCUACCAAAGCUGGUUGUUCUUCGGACAAAUGGACAAAUCACAACAUUGAAACCCUGGCCAAACUGACCGAUCACAACACAGAAACAACAUCCAUACUUGACUAAAUUGGCCAAUCAAGGCAACUAGACUGACCACCCAGUAACAUAUAGAAAUUAGUGACAGCCUCAGUUAAAUGAGGCUGAUCAAACACAUUGAACAAAUAGUUAUAACUAUCUGAAGUGGUUAGUCAAGUCAAGGGCAGCUAACUCCAACCAACAGGAGUUAACAGUUUGGACAGACACAUCACUGCAACAACAAUAACAACAACAUGGUAGUCAUGGCGACAUGGUAUACAGCAAUACAUAAAACCAAGAAACACCUGCUAGCUGCAGUGGCAGGUGUUCCUUGGGUGGGGUGCAUUUACUUCCUUCCGGAACCUAUUACAAGUCUCGUCUGCUAUCACAUGUGAUUGUGGACGUUAUCAUAUGUGGUGGCCACUGACACUUCUGAAACAGUGACGAGAUGAGUUCAAAUUCAUCAAGAGUCAUCACAGCUCACUGACCUUCAACAAUAUACAUGAAUGCAUGUGUUUAUACAGACAUAUACGUAUAUGUAUAUAAAUAAUCUGUGUGUGUGUGUGUGUGUGUGUGUGUGUGUGUGUGCAUGCGCGAGAAGCAAUUUUAGAAUUGAUGGUUCACCUCUGAGUAUUUCUUGUGUCAAGAAAGUAAUUAAAAUCAAAUUAUAGAUCCAAAUACAAACCUGUAUGCGUACAUGCGUAUGAGUGCGUGUGUAUAGAUGUGUGUAUGUAUGUGUGUGUAUAAGUGCUGUAGCAUGAAUUAAAAACUUGAGUCUAUGCCCAGCUGUCCAACACCACACCCUUCGGCCACUGGGGAAAAUUAAAAGCAGUAAAUUCAGUGUAAGAAGGAAAAGGAAAAUGGGAGUGAGUUUGUUAAACAUUGAUGACAAAGAUGGGUGGAUGUUUAGACUGAAGGUAAACAUCUACCCAGAUCUCAACUCUAUCUUGACAAGGGGAACUCUGGCACAAGCAAAUUAGAUGAUAUACAUACUCUCACAUAUGCAUAUAAAUAUAUAUACAUAUAUAUAUUUACAUAGAUAUAUGUACAUAUAUAUACAUACACAAACACUCACACACACACAUGUACCUAUAUAUAUGUAUGUGUAUAUAUAUAUAUAUAUAUAUAUAUAUAUACACACACACACACACAUGUACAUACUGCACAUAACUAUGCAUAUACACAUGCAUAUACAUAUAUUGAAUAACUGGCACUUGGUCAGAUAUGACGGUGAGUGUUGCAGUUAAUCUGAGGAGUGCAACAACCUGCUCGUGAAAUUAACGUGCAAGCGGUUGAGCACUCUGCAGACAUGCAUACCCUGAAUGUACUUCUUGGGGAGGUUCAGCAAUGACAGAGUGCGACAAGGCUGGCCCCUCUUAAAGGACAUGUUUGCCAGCUGAGAGGACUGGAGCGAGGUGAAACAAAGUGUCUUGCUCAAGGAGACAACGUGCAGCUGGGAAUCGAAUUCACGACCUCACCAUCAUGAACCGAAAACCCUCACUACUGAGCUGCACGCCUUCACACACACAUACAUACAUAUA
RNAcentral lists this long non-coding RNA (5581 nucleotides) under Octopus vulgaris (common octopus). The record is from RNAcentral. Lineage: Eukaryota; Metazoa; Mollusca; Cephalopoda; Octopoda; Octopodidae.